Molecule: ribosomal RNA, 354 nt
Filed under: uncultured bacterium
Lineage: Bacteria
Description: bacterial SSU rRNA
Rfam family: Bacterial small subunit ribosomal RNA
Source: RNAcentral
CUGUACAGUUCAGAGUUUGAUCCUGGCUCAGGACAACGCUGGCGGCGUGCCUAACACAUGCAAGUCGAGCGGAGCCAAUCAAUAGAUUUCUUCGGAAUGACGUUGAGGAAGCUUAGCGGCGGACGGGUGAGUAACGCGUGAGUAACCUGCCUGUAAGAGGGGGAUAACACAGAGAAAUUUGUGCUAAUACCGCAUAUUGAAAGCGAAUCGCAUGGUUUGCUUUUGAAAGAUUUAUCGCUUACAGAUGGACUCGCGUCUGAUUAGCUAGUUGGUGAGGUAAUGGCUCACCAAGGCGACGAUCAGUAGCCGAACUGAGAGGUUGAUCGGCCACAUUGGGACUGAGACACGGCCCAG